CACCAUUGGGAGGUGAAAUCGUCUUUGGAGGAUAUGAUUGGAGACACUUUGUGAAAAUUCAAACUAUUGCAAUGAUUUGAUGAGCUGUGGCAUGGUGUAUUUAUGUCAUUGGUUAUACUGAUUGAUCGUUUCCUUUGCAGAUGACCCAACACAAUGAUGGAGCCUUGGUGGUCCUGAAACCUGGAGAGCAAAAAUCUAUGCAGGAAAUCAGUAAUCAUAACAGAGAGAGUGGGAAAGGAAAUCAAAUCUUGCUUACACACAGAAGGAUAUUGAUGUGGUUCGAGCUGAAUGGGCAAAUCAUGUUAUGAAGUUCUAACUUUGGUUCUGUUUAAGGUAGAUGAGUAGCAUCAGGAACUGCUUUUGUGCAUUUAUAUAUAACUGAUGGAAAGUGUUGAUGAACCUAAAUUAUGCAUGCAGUUGCUUUGCCUAGCUACUCUUUCUUUACCUUAUAGGUUUUUGACUUGGUACAAUAUUAGGUAAAUGAUCGAGAUCGAUAAGAUGGUUUUUUGGUUAUCUUGAUCAUUAUGUAACUGUUGGCUAGAUUUAGAGUUGGAACUAUGGAUUGUAUUUUGGAUGAUGUUGAUGCAAUGAAACGUAGCCAUCAUUUUCAAUGCAGAUUUUAGUCCAAUUUUAUGGUUU
Molecule: long non-coding RNA, 639 nt
Organism: Rosa chinensis
Lineage: Eukaryota; Viridiplantae; Streptophyta; Magnoliopsida; Rosales; Rosaceae
Exons: 2
Source: RefSeq, a predicted model, not a curated record